Molecule: unclassified non-coding RNA, 147 nt
Filed under: uncultured Gymnostellatospora
Lineage: Eukaryota; Fungi; Ascomycota; Leotiomycetes; Myxotrichaceae
Description: sequence contains ITS2
Source: RNAcentral
CAACCCUCAAGCUCUGCUUGGUGUUGGGCCCCGCCGCCCCGGCGGGCCCUAAAGUCAGUGGCGGUGCCGUCCGGCUCCGAGCGUAGUAAUUUUUCUCGCUUUGGAGGCCCGGGCGCGUGCUCGCCAUCAACCCCCAAUUUUUUCAGG